GCCUCUGUGGUCCAGUGGUUGAGUGUUGGACUCGCGUUCCGGAGGUCCCGGGUUCGAAUCCCGGCGGGGACA
RNAcentral lists this transfer RNA (72 nucleotides) under Pectinophora gossypiella (pink bollworm). Its description in RNAcentral is "transfer RNA alanine (anticodon CGC)". It matches the Rfam family "tRNA". Rfam says of the family: Transfer RNA (tRNA) molecules are approximately 80 nucleotides in length. Their secondary structure includes four short double-helical elements and three loops (D, anti-codon, and T loops). Further hydrogen bonds mediate the characteristic L-shaped molecular structure. tRNAs have two regions of fundamental functional importance: the anti-codon, which is responsible for specific mRNA codon recognition, and the 3' end, to which the tRNAs corresponding amino acid is attached (by aminoacyl-tRNA synthetases). tRNAs cope with the degeneracy of the genetic code in two manners: having more than one tRNA (with a specific anti-codon) for a particular amino acid; and 'wobble' base-pairing, i.e. permitting non-standard base-pairing at the 3rd anti-codon position. Lineage: Eukaryota; Metazoa; Arthropoda; Insecta; Lepidoptera; Gelechiidae. The record is from RNAcentral.